This is a non-coding RNA of Paramuricea clavata, 73 nucleotides long. The record is from the annotation of a GenBank genome assembly. Lineage: Eukaryota; Metazoa; Cnidaria; Anthozoa; Malacalcyonacea; Plexauridae.
GCCUCUGUAGCUCAGUUGGUUAGAGCACUGUUCCGGAAUCACAGGUGCGCAGGUUCAAUUCCUGGCAGGGACC